Molecule: small RNA, 28 nt
Filed under: Bombyx mori (domestic silkworm)
Lineage: Eukaryota; Metazoa; Arthropoda; Insecta; Lepidoptera; Bombycidae
Description: piRNA piR-bmo-1505151
Source: RNAcentral
UCGAGGUUUGGAUAUGUUUGUGAAGUGA